AUUGAACGCUGGCGGCAGGCCUAACACAUGCAAGUCGAACGGUAACAGGAAGAAGCUUGCUUCUUUGCUGACGAGUGGCGGACGGGUGAGUAAUGUCUGGGAAACUGCCUGAUGGAGGGGGAUAACUACUGGAAACGGUAGCUAAUACCGCAUAACGUCGCAAGACCAAAGAGGGGGACCUUCGGGCCUCUUGCCAUCGGAUGUGCCCAGAUGGGAUUAGCUAGUAGGUGGGGUAACGGCUCACCUAGGCGACGAUCCCUAGCUGGUCUGAGAGGAUGACCAGCCACACUGGAACUGAGACACGGUCCAGACUCUACGGAGGCAGCAGUGGGGAAUAUUGCACAAUGGGCGCAAGCCUGAUGCAGCCAUGCCGCGUGUAUGAAGAAGGCCUUCGG
Molecule: ribosomal RNA, 395 nt
Filed under: uncultured bacterium
Lineage: Bacteria
Description: bacterial SSU rRNA
Rfam family: Bacterial small subunit ribosomal RNA
Source: RNAcentral